Molecule: ribosomal RNA, 495 nt
Filed under: uncultured bacterium
Lineage: Bacteria
Description: partial 16S ribosomal RNA
Rfam family: Bacterial small subunit ribosomal RNA
Source: RNAcentral
GACGAACGCUGGCGGCGUGCCUAAUACAUGCAAGUAGAACGCUGAAGGAGGAGCUUGCUUCUCUGGAUGAGUUGCGAACGGGUGAGUAACGCGUAGGUAACCUGCCUGGUAGCGGGGGAUAACUAUUGGAAACGAUAGCUAAUACCGCAUAAUAGUAGAUGUCGCAUGACAUUUGCUUAAAAGGUGCAAUUGCAUCACUACCAGAUGGACCUGCGUUGUAUUAGCUAGUUGGUGAGGUAACGGCUCACCAAGGCAACGAUACAUAGCCGACCUGAGAGGGUGGUCGGCCACACUGGGACUGAGACACGGCCCAGACUCCUACGGGGGGCAGCAGUAGGGGAUCUUCGGCAAUGGACGGAAGUCUGACCGAGCAACGCCGCGGGAGGGGAGGAGGGUUUCGGAUCGUAAAGCUCUGUUGUAAGAGAAGAACGAGUGUGGGAGUGGAAAGUUCACACUGUGACGGUAUCUUACCAGAAAGGGACGGCUAACUACGUG